AACGAACGCUGGCGGCGGGCUUAACACAUGCAAGUCGAACGCACCUUUCGGGGUGAGUGGCCGACGGGUGAGUAACGCGUGGGAAUCUACCCUUCUCUACGGGAUAGCUCCGGGAAACUGGAAUUAAUACCGUAUACGUCCUGAGGGAGAAAGAUUUAUCGGGGAAGGAUGAGCCCGCGUUGGAUUAGCUAGUUGGUGGGGUAAAGGCCUACCAAGGCGACGAUCCAUAGCUGGUCUAAGAGGAUGAUCAGCCACAUUGGGACUGAGACACGGCCCAAACUCCUACGGGAGGCAGCAGUGGGGAAUAUUGGACAAUGGGCGCAAGCCUGAUCCAGCCAUGCCGCGUGAGUGAUGAAGGCCCUAGGGUUGUAAAGCUCUUUCAGUGGGGACGAUAAUGACGGUACCCACAGAAGAAGCCCCGGCUAACUUCGUG
Molecule: ribosomal RNA, 433 nt
Filed under: uncultured bacterium
Lineage: Bacteria
Description: partial 16S ribosomal RNA
Rfam family: Bacterial small subunit ribosomal RNA
Source: RNAcentral